RNAcentral lists this ribosomal RNA (369 nucleotides) under Lepidonotus squamatus. Its description in RNAcentral is "SSU rRNA". It matches the Rfam family "Eukaryotic small subunit ribosomal RNA", at positions 564 to 879 of the family's 1831-position model. Lineage: Eukaryota; Metazoa; Annelida; Polychaeta; Phyllodocida; Polynoidae. The record is from RNAcentral.
GUGCCAGCAGCCGCGGUAAUUCCAGCUCCAAUAGCGUAUAUUAAAGUUGUUGCAGUUAAAAAGCUCGUAGUUGGAUCUCGGAUCCGGGCGAGCGGUCCGCCUCGCGGCGGUUUACUGCUCGAUGGCGACAGUUCGGGGCGGCCGUUUCGGCGGUUCGUCACGGCUGGCGUCGUUCCCGGUCUCUCACCCUCUGGACGCCCGUCGGUGCUCUUGACUGCAGUGCCGGCGGCGGCCAGGACGUUUACUUUGAAAAAAUUAGAGUGUUCCAAGCAGGCGCGUUCCGCCCGAAUAAUGGUGCAUGGAAUAAUGGAAUAGGACCUCGGUUCUAUUCGUUGGUUUUCGGAACUAGAGGUAAUGAUUAAGAGGGAC